Molecule: long non-coding RNA, 365 nt
Organism: Gastrolobium bilobum
Lineage: Eukaryota; Viridiplantae; Streptophyta; Magnoliopsida; Fabales; Fabaceae
Exons: 3
Source: RefSeq, a predicted model, not a curated record
CUGCCUUGAAUUUCCAUCAGGUUUUUAGGAACCCUACUUGCCUCGUUGCCGGCGAAAAAUCCUCUUAAUGGGGAUUUUAUCUAUUCCUCGCAGACAGUUAAUGGACAUUGCAUUCAUGAUUCAUGGUUAUCUUAAGAGUAAUGCCAGAUCCUUUGGAACUUUAUCAGGCCAACAGGAUUGCAGUUCUACUAUCUCUUCUAAACUGCUUUUAUUAAUGAGGCAAGGGAAAAUAUACAACUCAUAGUCAGGAACCUGCCAAAGAACUGCGAGCGUAUGUCUUCUGUUUCCAUGAUGACAGAUACUCUUCUUCUUAUGAAGUCAAAAGGAAUCUCAUCUAUCUUCCUCCACUUGGAUGGCUGAAACCU